AACGAACGCUGGCGGCAUGCCUAACACAUGCAAGUCGAACGAGACCUUCGGGUCUAGUGGCGCACGGGUGCGUAACGCGUGGGAACCUGCCCUUAGGUUCGGAAUAACUCACCGAAAGGGGUGCUAAUACCGGAUAAUGUCUUCGGACCAAAGAUUUAUCGCCUUUGGAUGGGCCCGCGUUGGAUUAGCUAGUUGGUAGGGUAAAAGCCUACCAAGGCGACGAUCCAUAGCUGGUCUGAGAGGAUGAUCAGCCACACUGGGACUGAGACACGGCCCAGACUCCUACGGGAGGCAGCAGUGGGGAAUAUUGGACGAUGGGCGAAAGCCUGAUCCAGCAAUGCCGCGUGAGUGAUGAAGGCCUUAGGGUUGUAAAGCUCUUUUACCCGGGAUGAUAAUGACAGUACCGGGAGAAUAAGCUCCGGCUAACUCCGUG
This 433-nucleotide ribosomal RNA is filed under the name uncultured bacterium. Its description in RNAcentral is "partial 16S ribosomal RNA". It matches the Rfam family "Bacterial small subunit ribosomal RNA", at positions 29 to 507 of the family's 1533-position model. The record is from RNAcentral.